This 394-nucleotide long non-coding RNA is filed under the name Carica papaya (papaya). RNAcentral describes it as "long non-coding RNA (CPAP_LNC007364)". Lineage: Eukaryota; Viridiplantae; Streptophyta; Magnoliopsida; Brassicales; Caricaceae. The record is from RNAcentral.
GAGGCGUUUUGUGAAUUUUUUUGUGGCGCCGCCGCCAAGCUUUGCCCACAUUUUUCAGUUAAUCAGCCGGUCUUUUUGCUCCGAUUUGGCCAUGGAGGUGUUUAAAAUUGAAUUCUGAGCAAAGAAAUUUUUUUUUACCUCUUUUGGCGGUCUGAAAGGGCUCCGGCGCGGCGGCAGGUGGCGACGAUCUCUUUCCCGGCGGCAGGGCCUUCUUAUCCGGCGAGGGGGUCUACGGGCUAGGGUUAGGGUUUAGUGCGAAUGAGGGUUAUUUAUAUCCGCCCGCAUUUAAUCUGGAUCGUCUAUUGCGUUUAAUCUGGACCGUCCGAUCACGAUCAAAUAGGGAGAGAAUCUGGACCAUUUUUCGCAAUCUAAUUUGAGCUGUUCAUCGUGAUCC